CGGGUUGACCGGGUGAUCGCGCUUCGGCAGCGACCGAAGUGAGGAAAGUCCGCGCUCCACAGGGGACGAUGCCGGCUAACGGCCGGGCGGGGUAACCCGACGGCAAGUGCAACAGAAAGCAGACCGCCUCGCGCUGCGCGGGGUAAGGGUGAAACGGUGGUGUAAGGGACCACCGGCACGAACAGUAAUGUUCGUGGCCGGGCAAACCCCAUCGGGAGCAAGGCCAAGCAGGUGCAUUGGAGCGCCCCGUUCCGCAAAAAGCACCGGGUGAGCUGCUCGACCCGUAGAGUAAUCUGCGGGCUAGAUAGAUGAUCGCCACCUCAGCAAUGAGGGACAGAACGCGGCUUAUAGGUCAACCCGGAUU
RNAcentral lists this RNase P RNA (364 nucleotides) under Chloroflexota bacterium. RNAcentral's name for it is "Chloroflexi bacterium RNase P RNA component class A". It matches the Rfam family "Bacterial RNase P class A". From Rfam's summary of the family: Ribonuclease P (RNase P) is a ubiquitous endoribonuclease, found in archaea, bacteria and eukarya as well as chloroplasts and mitochondria. The record is from RNAcentral. Lineage: Bacteria; Bacillati; Chloroflexota.